Podarcis lilfordi (Lilford's wall lizard) is the source of this 4755-nucleotide non-coding RNA. The record is from the annotation of a GenBank genome assembly. Lineage: Eukaryota; Metazoa; Chordata; Lepidosauria; Squamata; Lacertidae.
GGGUGAACAUUUUUAGAGAAAAACAGGCACAACAAUAUGUUUUAUUGGAUUGUCUUGUUUUAGCACCCUUUUUUGUGUAAACUUAACCAAGCCCUUUUUCAUGCAGAAAUUGUUGUGCGGCUGGUUGAGUCCAAACCAUGAAGAAAGAAUUUGGAAACGGCAACAUGAACAACCACAAUUAACAUCACAAAGAAUGUGACAUCUUCAAACCCCUUGCUGGUUAGUAAAAAAAAGCCCACAACUAAUUGACUUUAAUGAUUUUACUGUGUUUAUUAAAUCUCCAAUAUGUUAUCUGAAUUCACUGAAUCUCCAAUAUGUUAUCAAUGACCAGAAUAUUAAUAGCAUAUCAACAGCUUCAGUCUUUAGUAUAAAGGUAAAGGGACCCCUGACGUUUAGGUCCAGUUGUGACUGACUCUGGGGUUGCGGCACUCAUCUCACUUUACUGGUUGAGGAGCCGGUGUACAGCUUCUGGGUCAUGUGGCCAGCAUGACUAAGCCACUUCUGGCGAACCAGAGCAGAGCAUGGAAACGCCAUUUACCUUUCCCACCAGAGCAGUACCUAUUUAUCUACUUGCACUUUGACAUGCUUUCAAACUGCUAGGUUGGCAGGAGCAGGGACUGAGCAACGGGAGCUUACCCCAUCAUGGGGAUUCGAACUGCUGACCUUCUGAUCAGCAAGUCCUAGGCUCUGUGGUUUAACCCACAGCGCCACCCAUGUCCCUAAAGUCUUUAGUAUACGUACUUGCUAAUACAUUCUAUUGAAAUAAUGUGUGACUGGAUUCAGAAAAAAAAUACUAUUUUGCUCUAUGUUUUUCAACAAUGCAAUGGCUCAACCUGCAGAUUACCCAAACUGAAUGAGUCACACAUAGCCUCCAUUGCAGGCCUUCUCGGACCUUUGUCAUCAUGUAGAGAACUGAAGGUCUGAGGAGGGACCUCUCUCUGUGUGUAAAUGAUCUCUCCAGUAACACAUGGCUCCCAAUUCUGUAGAGCACCGAUGCACAUAACAAUGUGGGUGUCCCUUUUCAGAUUUCAGAUCCCUCUGUAGGAGAUCUGGGGGCAAAUCCUUCGGGGGCGAUGAAAGAGUGGACUGAAGACACCAGGAACAGUACUGUUUCCCCUUCUAUGCAUUUUUCCCUAUGGGGUGGAGGGAAUUUGUGAAAGGAGCUUGCAUUCCUAGCUUAUUGGUCGCCUGUAGACAUUCACUCACAACUAUUAUGGUUUUUAUGAAUGGCUUUUAGGCAACACCCAUGGCAAGAGCUGUAGAAAUCAUUAAUUCUUCUGACCCUGCAAAAAAAAAGCUUUGCUCAAAAAUACAUAUAAAACCACAUUAGAACAGCUAUCCCUGGUUGGAAGCCAGAGCAGUCAAUCAAAUAACUAUGCUGCCUUUUCUCCUGUACUUAUAUGGAGUAUUUGGGGCUUGGGGAAAUGUGCCCGUUUUAAAGAGACAACAAAUCUGAGGUCUAUGGGAUUUCCUAAGCUCUGAGGUGUCCCGAUUGGGUACAGGCUUCUCAAACUUUGCUUGAGAAGAGGCCCGUAUCUCUCUGAAUCUUAAUCCAAAUCCGAACCAAAUCCAUACCCCUAAUCAUUAUUAACAUAAAGGGUGCAGAAUGGUUGCAUUAAGAUGUUCUUUCUUGUGACAAAACAAUGUUUUCCCCACCUAUUUCCAGUUCCCUCAAGACUCCCCCCCCUCCCAAUUUGCCACAGACCUUUUUAUCUCCUUUCCUGUGCCCAUUUAAUACAUCCCGGAACAGCACAUUUAGAACAACCGUUCUGUGCCAGGAGUGCUUUCCGCCCUCAAUAAGAUUUGUUUCACACCGUCCUCUUUAAACAUGUAUACGCACCACAAACCAGGCUUUAUUAUUCCUUGGGCCACACACCUGCAAUUGGUUUCCAUGGCGACAAGAGUUUUGCAGCCCCCAUCAGUUUUGUUCUCAGUUCCGAUUAACAGAUCACUAGCUGGCGGUAAAAAGGCAAUUAGCGGGGAAAGGCAACUUUUCAGGUGGGUUCGGGAGUUUUAAAAUCUCUCGGCAGUUGCAAAUGCUGCUGGAGGAACAAUACCAACAACAAAGACCCCUUUAAAUAAAACUUCUGUGGACAGAGCCCACUAGGCCUCCCAGUGCUUGGUUCAAUAUGGAUGGUCUCCCUGGCUCCUGACUCUGGGGAGGAGUACAGGUAGUGCGCAGGGCAGUCAAGUCAGUUUCUCUUAAUCCUCAUGGAAGCAAGUUGAAAUGUUUGCUGUGCAGUCACAAACUGAGCCCAAACAUAUCUUUGGAGACCCAUUUCUUUCUUUUUUUUAAUCAUAUAUUUGAAUGGUAGCAGAUCCAUCUUGGAUCUGGCUAAGACCUUGUACUGGAUGCUGACCUCCCAGUUGAAGACCAGUCCUCUAUGGCAAGGAUGGGGAACUUGUGGACUACAGCUUCCAUCACCGCUGAUCAUUGACCAUGAUGGUUGGAGCUGCUGGGAGUUGGAAGUCCAACAAUAUCUGGACAGGUUUCCCACCCUCGCUGCUCCCCACACAUGCCACAGUUCAUCCUAAGUCCCACCAAACCCUUAAAGCCAAGCUGAUUUAGAUGCUAUGCUGGGUGAGAGAGGAGAUUAAAACGAGACAGUGUCUUGCUCCUUGUCUUGCCUAGGUAGCAAAAUGGCACACCCAACUCAGCCAAUGUGUCAUUUUGGCAACUGAGGAGUCUCUCUCUCUCUCUGUUCCUUCCUAGGAAACAAGUAACAAUUGGUGACCAUUUCAUAACCAUCAAAAACAAUUGCCCAGGCAACCACUUCACCCAGCCCUAUAAUUGGGCUGGCUCUUUUUCCCAGUGGGAGGAAUGUCCAUGAUGCUUUUUUUUCACAUGUUCACUCACUCUUGCAUAUGUGUGUGUGUUGCAUGUGUGUGUAUCUGUCUGUCUGAAAUCUCACUCACUCACUCACUUCUCGUUCUGCCUAUUCAAGCCCAGAUUCCUAAAUGUAUGUAAGGAGCUAGGCCUAGCCUCCAUUUAAUAAUAUCUCCUUCCAUUAUGCAUGAGCACUUUAGAGUGACAAAUGAAACUUUAUCUUGUCUUCCGGAGCCGAGUUUUGUUUUAUUUGCAAGCCACGACGAGAGUACAUUUUCUCCCCUGCUUGCUUUCUGUGUCACAUUCUUAGAAGGCAAUAUUGGGAUCUCAUUUUGUCUGUCUGUCUCUUCCCACUCACUUGCCACAUUACCAGUGCCUCAUCAGUUCUGAAUACCUGAUCUUUUUAAAUGUUUUACAAAGGAGGAUCUCAACUGAAGCACAGGGGUUUGUGAAGUGCUAUUUUUCUAGGAAAAUAGGUGCAGGACCUCAUCACAAACGCCUCCCUUGUUCUCUUAGAAUGGCAAUGGCGCCCAACCGAGAAGUUCCGGGGCUCAGUUCCAGCUGAUAAAAAGCCUUGGUUUUGCAAUGCUUUCUUGAAUACCUUGGACAAGGCCUGUCCUUUGAUAUGUCGCUUAAGCACACGAAAAGUUAUGGGAUUACAGUCAUACCUCGGGUUACAGAUGCUUCAGGUUGCAUUUUUUCAGGUUGUGGACUACCGAAGCCCGGAAGUACCGGAAUGGGUUACUUCUGGGUUUCGGCGGUCACACAUGCGCAGAAGCACCGAAUCGCAACCCGUGCGUGCGCAGACAUGCAUCCUGCACGGAUCACAUUCGCAACCCAAGCGUCCACUGUAUACGAAAGGUAAGUGUGUGUGUUUCUGUGUUUGUGUGAGAGAGAUGGAUGAUGUGUGGACAGGUUUCUCCUUAGCAAGGCCACCCCUUUAGAAUUGUCACUGCAUGUUCCCCCGCAUGAAACAGGCUAUGACUGUCAGAGAAAUUAGACGUUUCAGAAGUGAGUAGUGUCUUCCCCACUUGCCUCCAGCUCUGGUGUACUAUUUACACUUUUAUCUAGGCCUCUGAGGGUGUGCGGCAUGAGAAAUGCAAGCGAGUGCAGCCGGGAGUGUGGGGCCUGUGCAAUGGCGGGUCCCAGUCAGUGAUCAAACACAGGAGAAAUAGAGACUGACAGUUGUCAGUGCUCAGGCAUCAGCAUGUUCCCAGAUGUGUGUCCCUUGAGAGGCUUUCUGUGCCACCCUCCAUCGUGGGAAGCCUGUAGCUGUGCAUCACUGUGGAUGGAUAGCUUGAGCAGAGUUCUCAAUAUUUAUUAUUUUUCGAAAUAUAUUUCUCUUUCUGAAAGCUGCUGUGUGUGUCAUGUUCCUGCCAGUGGCGUGCUGGUGCUAAUCAGUGUCAAGUUCCUGUCAGCUAAUGCUUUUGCUGUUUUUAGGAUGGCAGCUCUGUUCUGGGAAGCGGUGAGGGAUUCGGCGAGGCUGCAGCCAUCCAAGGCAGCUUGCUUUCUUUUUUAAAAAAGGAUUGUGUAUUUCUGAAGAAGGGAGAGUUGUGUAAAAUGAAAGGGGAAGCACCGCUCCUAAACAUGGUGUCGUGUACCACAGGAACUGACAAGCAGUAUUGGAAGUUAAGUUCCCUUGAUGGUUUUCUGCAGUAACAGGCUGAAUCUAGACAUACAUAUAUAUAUAUAAAAUAAAAUGCUGUGAAAAUGCUUUGUUUAUUUUUUAAAAAAAGAUUAAUAUGGAAUUUCCCAUUAGCUUACCAUCGCCAUCUAGUGUCACUUUUGUAUAAGGCACUUAAAACACGCUUAAAACGUUAUUUUUUCCCCCUUUUAGUAUAUAAGCUUUGUAUACAUGUUGAAAAUUAUAGUAUAAUAAGCCUUGUGGUGCAAUAUGAUAAUGUUUACCAAUGUAACAUAAGAACUUU